Molecule: ribosomal RNA, 301 nt
Filed under: uncultured bacterium
Lineage: Bacteria
Description: partial 16S ribosomal RNA
Rfam family: Bacterial small subunit ribosomal RNA
Source: RNAcentral
CAGCAGCCGCGGUAAUACGUAGGUGGCAAGCGUUGUCCGGAAUUAUUGGGCGUAAAGGGCGCGUAGGCGGACUGAUAAGUCAGGGGUGAAAUCCCAAGGCUCAACCUUGGAACUGCCUUUGAUACUGUUUGUCUUGAGUUCGAGAGAGGUAAGUGGAACUGCGAGUGUAGAGGUGAGAUUCGUAGAUAUUCGCAAGAACACCAGUGGCGAAGGCGGCUUACUGGCUCGAUACUGACGCUGAGGCGCGAAAGCGUGGGGAGCAAACAGGAUUAGAGACCCGGGUAGUCCCUGUCUCUUAUAC